UAUCUUUAGCGCUAGUUCUGGGGCGGUAAACGUUUGACCCAGAGGACGAGGAGAAGGUUGUCGAGUAGUCAGCGGAUGCCUUCCGGCUGGUCCGGCCGAGAAAGCCUGUUUAAAGCCCUGUCGUGAGACAGGGGAGAGAGACAG
This 144-nucleotide non-coding RNA is filed under the name bovine gut metagenome. RNAcentral describes it as "glmS glucosamine-6-phosphate activated ribozyme". It matches the Rfam family "glmS glucosamine-6-phosphate activated ribozyme aptamer", at positions 11 to 154 of the family's 167-position model. Rfam says of the family: This entry contains a glucosamine-6-phosphate activated ribozyme that is found in the mRNA for GlmS. GlmS is an enzyme that uses fructose-6-phosphate and glutamine to generate glucosamine-6-phosphate. The record is from RNAcentral.